CCUCGGCACCCACAGUGACGUGUACCCAGUCGGCACCAACUACCACAUGGCUCUCCGUUCUUGGCCAUCCUUAGGAGCGACGGAGGGAGCCAGAUGGCCCGGAGUGGGAGUGGUGAGUCAGGAGCGUGGUGUCAGUGGUCCGUGAGCAGGGAUCCCCGACAGGGGAGCGAGUGCCGAGAAGCUGAGUGGCCCCAGCGUGUGUCCCAGGAGUGACUGAAUCUCCGAGCCCCUACACCUGCCCGCAGGGUCCUCUGCCCACCCGCUGGGCCUGGGCGUGGCUCAGGGGAUGGCAGCUGUGCCCAGGCCUCCCUUCGUGCUUCUGGGUCCAUGUCCCGGUGCUGUACCUCUCUCCCCACCCCUGCCCUGCUCAGACCCUUGCUGCGCUCUUCUGGGAUCAAGGAUUUUUGUGCUUUUGUGUUCAACUGAGGAAAAGGAUUUUACGGAUUGGCCAGAGUUUCUUGAGACCCAGAGGGUUUUGCACACUGGUGACAAAGGAAAGGGA
Molecule: long non-coding RNA, 502 nt
Filed under: Fukomys damarensis (Damara mole-rat)
Lineage: Eukaryota; Metazoa; Chordata; Mammalia; Rodentia; Bathyergidae
Description: lncRNA (ENSFDAG00000031910.1)
Source: RNAcentral